This 255-nucleotide signal recognition particle RNA is filed under the name Candidatus Bilamarchaeum dharawalense. RNAcentral describes it as "Bacteria_large_SRP". It matches the Rfam family "Bacterial large signal recognition particle RNA". Rfam says of the family: The signal recognition particle (SRP) is a universally conserved ribonucleoprotein involved in the co-translational targeting of proteins to membranes. Archaeal SRP consists of a 7S RNA and homologues of the eukaryotic SRP19 and SRP54 proteins. In most bacteria, the SRP consists of a 4.5S RNA and the Ffh protein (a homologue of the eukaryotic SRP54 protein). Lineage: Archaea; Nanobdellati; Microcaldota; Candidatus Micrarchaeia; Candidatus Anstonellales; Candidatus Bilamarchaeaceae. The record is from RNAcentral.
ACGGGCUAGAUGGGAAUUAGGGGCUCCCGCACCGUAAAUCCUCUUAGACGGAUCGAAUGCCCGGGGCGUUUUGUCAGGUAUUCAUGCCCAUAAUCUUAAGCGUUGACGUCCUGCCUUAUAUGGCGGGAUAAUAUGUGAACCGGGUCAGGCCGGAAGGAGCAGCCCUAAGCGUAUUGUGCCGUGCUUGUGAGAUACAGGAUCGAGUAGAUGAUUAUGGCUCCUUGUAUAUUUGGCCAGGCUAACCGGGAAGCCCAC